Molecule: unclassified non-coding RNA, 221 nt
Filed under: Hevea brasiliensis (rubber tree)
Lineage: Eukaryota; Viridiplantae; Streptophyta; Magnoliopsida; Malpighiales; Euphorbiaceae
Source: RNAcentral
CGUAAUGCUAAGUGUGGGAUGGAUGCAGUGGAGUCUGGAACUAAACCAUGUGAUCUUGCCAAGGAAGCUCUUCAUGAGCACCCCUUACACCAUAUGACACUUUCAAAAGCUAUCAUCCUUGGAUAUUUAGGCAUAUUUUCUGUUUAUUGGGUCUUUUGCUUUUUUAGGUUUUUUGCACAGCUGAAGGACAUUUUAGGAAUCCGUCACUUUUAUUACAACAG